GUAGGUGGCAAGCGUUGUCCGGAAUUAUUGGGCGUAAAGCGCGCGCAGGUGGUUCUUUAAGUCUGAUGUGAAAGACCCCCGGGCUCAACCGGGGAGGGUCAUUGGAAACUGGGGAACUUGAGUGCAGGAGAGGAAAGUGGAAUUCCACGUGUAGCGGUGAAAUGCGUAGAUAUGUGGAGGAACACCAGUGGCGAAGGCGACUUUCUGGCCUGUAACUGACACUGAGGCGCGAAAGCGUGGGGAGCAAACAGGAUUAGAUACCCUGGUAGUCCACGCCGCAAACGAUGAGUGCUAAGUGUUGGGGGGUUUCCGCCCCUCAGUGCUGCAGCUAACGCAUUAAGCACUCCGCCUGGGGAGUACGGUCGCAAGACUG
This 373-nucleotide ribosomal RNA is filed under the name uncultured organism. Its description in RNAcentral is "partial 16S ribosomal RNA". It matches the Rfam family "Bacterial small subunit ribosomal RNA", at positions 527 to 896 of the family's 1533-position model. The record is from RNAcentral.